GAUCAAGCGACUAAGUGCAUGUGGUGGAUGCCUUGGCGAUUACAGGCGAUGAAGGACGUAGCAGCCUGCGAUAAGCCCCGGGGAGUCGGCAAGCAGACUUUGAUCCGGGGAUUUCCGAAUGGGGAAACCCACCCGCAAGGGUACCCUCACCUGAAUACAUAGGGUGUGUGGAGCGAACCUGCUGAACUGAAACAUCUAAGUAGGCAGAGGAACAGAAAUCAACCGAGAUUCCGAAAGUAGUGGCGAGCGAAAUCGGAUCAGCCUGUGCGUUUUAGCAGUUGUCCUAGAGGAACGGUCUGGAAAGUCCGGCCAUAGCGGGUGAUAGCCCCGUACUCGAAAGGUCGACUGUGGAACUGAGCGCACGACAAGUAGGGCGGGACACGUGAAAUCCUGUCUGAAGAUGGGGGGACCAUCCUCCAAGGCUAAAUACUCGUAAUCGACCGAUAGUGAACUAGUACCGUGAGGGAAAGGCGAAAAGAACCCCGGGAGGGGAGUGAAAUAGAUCCUGAAACCGCAUGCAUACAAACAGUAGGAGCCCGCAAGGGUGACUGCGUACCUUUUGCAUAAUGGGUCAGCGACUUACAUUCUGUGGCAAGCUUAACCGUGUAGGGUAGGCGCAGCGAAAGCGAGUCCGAAUAGGGCGUUCAGUCGCAGGGUGUAGACCCGAAACCAGAUGAUCUAUCCAUGGCCAGGUUGAAGGUGGGGUAACACCCACUGGAGGACCGAACCGACUGUUGUUGCAAAAACAGCGGAUGAGCUGUGGAUAGGGGUGAAAGGCCAAACAAAUCUGGAAAUAGCUGGUUCUCCCCGAAAACUAUUGAGGUAGUGCCUCGCGUAUCACUCCAGGGGGUAGAGCACUGUUAUGGCUAGGGGGACAUGGCGUCUUACCAAACCAUGGCAAACUCCGAAUACCUGGAAGUGUCAGCGCGGGAGACAGUGCACCGGGUGCUAACGUCCGGACACGAGAGGGAAACAACCCAGACCGCCAGCUAAGGUCCCAAAUAUCGGCUAAGUGGAAAACGAAGUGGAAAGGCUAAGACAGUCAGGAAGUUGGCUUAGAAGCAGCCAUCCUUUAAAGAAAGCGUAAUAGCUCACUGAUCGAGUCUUUCUGCGCGGAAGAUGUAACGGGGCUAAGCCGAUAACCGAAGCUGCGGAUUUGCGCGAAAGCGCAAGUGGUAGGGGAGCGUUCUGUAAGCCUGCGAAGGUGGUUCGUAAGGACUGCUGGAGGUAUCAGAAGUGCGAAUGCUGACAUGAGUAGCGUUAAAGCGGGUGAAAAGCCCGCUCGCCGAAAGCCCAAGGUUUCCUGCUCUACGUUCAUCGGAGCAGGGUGAGUCGGCCCCUAAGGUGAGGACGAGAGUCGUAACUGAUGGGAACCAGGUCAAUAUUCCUGGACCGAUGCCAAGUGCGAUGGGGGGACGGAGCAUUGAAGGUCAUCCGGGUGUUGGACGUCCCGGUUUCUGAUCGUAGGAGGCCAGUAGGCAAAUCCGCUGGCGGAUCUCCGAGGUGAAGGAUCGAGCGGUCUUUUGGCCGCGAAGUGAUUGGAUGUGCUUCCAGGAAAAGCCUCUAAGCUCCAGCUUGGCACGACCGUACCGCAAACCGACACUGGUGGGCGAGCUGAAUAUGCUCAGGCGCUUGAGAGAACUCGGGAGAAGGAACUCGGCAAAUUGACACCGUAACUUCGGAAGAAGGUGUGCCUUAGUAGCGUGACAGGAGAAACACCUGAAGCGCCAAUAGGCCGCAGAGAAUCGGUGGCUGCGACUGUUUAUUAAAAACACAGCACUCUGCUAACACGAAAGUGGACGUAUAGGGUGUGACGCCUGCCCGGUGCUGGAAGGUUAAUUGAUGGAGUGCAAGCUCUUGAUCGAAGCCCCAGUAAACGGCGGCCGUAACUAUAACGGUCCUAAGGUAGCGAAAUUCCUUGUCGGGUAAGUUCCGACCUGCACGAAUGGCGUAACGAUGGCCACACUGUCUCCUCCCGAGACUCAGCGAAGUUGAAAUGUUUGUGAUGAUGCAAUCUACCCGCGGCUAGACGGAAAGACCCCAUGAACCUUUACUGUAGCUUUGCAUUGGACUGUGAACCGAUCUGUGUAGGAUAGGUGGGAGGCGUUGAAGCGGAGCCGCUAGGUUUCGUGGAGCCAACCUUGAAAUACCACCCUGGUUUGUUUGCGGUUCUAACCUUCGCCCGUUAUCCGGGUGGGGAACAGUGCAUGGUAGGCAGUUUGACUGGGGCGGUCUCCUCCCAAAAGGUAACGGAGGAGUUCGAAGGUACGCUAGGCACGGUCGGAAAUCGUGCUGAUAGUGCAAGGGCAUAAGCGUGCUUAACUGCGAGACAGACACGUCGAGCAGAUACGAAAGUAGGACCUAGUGAUCCGGUGGUUCUGUAUGGAAGGGCCAUCGCUCAACGGACAAAAGGUACUCUGGGGAUAACAGGCUGAUACCGCCCAAGAGUUCAUAUCGACGGCGGUGUUUGGCACCUCGAUGUCGGCUCAUCUCAUCCUGGGGCUGUAGCCGGUCCCAAGGGUAUGGCUGUUCGCCAUUUAAAGAGGUACGUGAGCUGGGUUUAAAACGUCGUGAGACAGUUUGGUCCCUAUCUGCCGUGGGCGCUGGAAGAUUGACGGGGGCUGCUCCUAGUACGAGAGGACCGGAGUGGACGCACCUCUGGUGUACCGGUUGUCACGCCAGUGGCAUCGCCGGGUAGCUAUGUGCGGAAGAGAUAACCGCUGAAAGCAUCUAAGCGGGAAACUUGCCUGGAGAUUAGUCUUCCCGGAGGCUUGACCUCCCUAAAGGGUCGUUCGAGACCAGGACGUUGAUAGGCUGGGUGUGGAAGGGCUGUGAGGCCUUAAGCUAACCAGUACUAAUUGCCCGUGAGGCUUGAUCCU
Molecule: ribosomal RNA, 2879 nt
Organism: Burkholderiales bacterium GJ-E10
Lineage: Bacteria; Pseudomonadati; Pseudomonadota; Betaproteobacteria; Burkholderiales
Rfam family: Bacterial large subunit ribosomal RNA
Source: Rfam